AUGUUCUUCUGGAUGCAAUUACAUGACAGACUCAAUACAAGAAAUCUACUAAGAAGGAAAACAUUUGUGCUAGAAGACUAUAACUGUGCACUCACUGGAUGCCAGCAGGAGGAAACUUUGCAUCACCUAUUUUGGGGAUGCCCCUUUGCUAAGAGAUGCUGGGAUCACAUUUGUCCCACUAGAUCCCAAGAUUUAUCUGUCUUAGAGGCCUUCCAGGACAUCAAAGAAAAUAUGAGACUACCUUUCUUCAUGGACAUAAUAAUACUCAGCUCCUGGGCUAUCUGGAUUUCUAGAGACAACAAGAUUUUUGAACAUAUUCACCCCACAUUUCAAGGAUGGAAGAACAUUUAUUUGAUGGAGCUGAACUUACUCAAGCACGGAAUAAGACCAAAGCAUGCCACUCAAUUCCUUUCAUGGUUGUCUCUUCAAGGAUAG
This 435-nucleotide ribosomal RNA is filed under the name Triticum aestivum (bread wheat). RNAcentral's name for it is "partial small subunit ribosomal RNA". The record is from RNAcentral. Lineage: Eukaryota; Viridiplantae; Streptophyta; Magnoliopsida; Poales; Poaceae.